GGUUUCGUGGCCCAAUGGCAAGGCGUCUGACUACGACCGAGGAUUUCCUCCUCUGAAAUCGUUAUCAGGAGAUUCUGGGUUCGACCCCCAGCGAGAUCA
Xylaria nigripes is the source of this 99-nucleotide non-coding RNA. Lineage: Eukaryota; Fungi; Ascomycota; Sordariomycetes; Xylariales; Xylariaceae. The record is from the annotation of a GenBank genome assembly.